This 245-nucleotide ribosomal RNA is filed under the name uncultured bacterium. Its description in RNAcentral is "partial 16S ribosomal RNA". It matches the Rfam family "Bacterial small subunit ribosomal RNA", at positions 524 to 768 of the family's 1533-position model. The record is from RNAcentral.
UACAGAGGUCUCAAGCGUUGUUCGGAUUCAUUGGGCGUAGAGGGUGCGUAGGUGGCGCCAUAAGUCGGGUGUGAAAUCUCGGGGCUUAACUCCGAAACUGCAUUCGAUACUGUGGUGCUUGAGGACUGGAGAGGAGACUGGAAUUCAUGGUGUAGCAGUGAAAUGCGUAGAGAUCAUGAGGAAGACCAGUGGCGAAGGCGGAUCUCUGGACAGUUCCCGACACUGAGGCACGAAGGCCAGGGGAG